AACCCCUGGCAAUGGGCAUAGAGACACCUUGGUGGUGGUGUUGUUCUUAUAUCAGUCAGGGGCAGAGGAGCUAGUAGCCCUUUGUUCAUCCUAGCUUGAUGCCUGGUUUGGUGGCCAAAGCUGUUUCAUGCCUAGGGCACAAUA
Small nucleolar RNA from Cricetulus griseus (Chinese hamster), 144 nucleotides. Ensembl annotates it as small nucleolar RNA SNORA48. Lineage: Eukaryota; Metazoa; Chordata; Mammalia; Rodentia; Cricetidae. The record is from Ensembl.